GAUCAUGGCUCAGAUUGAACGCUGGCGGCAGACCUAACACAUGCAAGUCGAACGGUAACAGAAAGCAGCUUGCUGCUUUGCUGACGAGUGGCGGACGGGUGAGUAAUGUCUGGGAAACUGCCCGAUGGAGGGGGAUAACUACUGGAAACGGUAGCUAAUACCGCAUAACGUCGCAAGACCAAAGAGGGGGACCUUCGGGCCUCUUGCCAUCGGAUGUGCCCAGAUGGGAUUAGCUAGUAGGG
Molecule: ribosomal RNA, 242 nt
Filed under: uncultured bacterium
Lineage: Bacteria
Description: partial 16S ribosomal RNA
Rfam family: Bacterial small subunit ribosomal RNA
Source: RNAcentral